Ribosomal RNA from Ochotona princeps (American pika), 115 nucleotides. The record is from Ensembl. Lineage: Eukaryota; Metazoa; Chordata; Mammalia; Lagomorpha; Ochotonidae.
UACAGCCAUAUCUACCAGAAUGCGCCCGAUCUUGUCUGUCUCAGAAGCUAAGCAGGGUCGGGCCUGGUUAGUACUUGGAUGGGAAAUAAAUAACAUUUACUAAGUCGUCCUGCAA